AGCCAAGUGGCAGGGACAACACAAGGCAUCUUUACCAGCCAACCGCAGCUUCUGCAAACACGUAAUCAUGACCAAUCAGGCGUUAAAUUAGUGUUGAAGUUUAGAUUUUAAUCAAACAUAUUUUGGCCCUAUCGCAUGGUGAAGCGGUUUGUCACCGU
This is a long non-coding RNA of Etheostoma spectabile (orangethroat darter), 158 nucleotides long. RefSeq lists it as uncharacterized. The record is from RefSeq and is a predicted model, not a curated record. The transcript has 3 exons. Lineage: Eukaryota; Metazoa; Chordata; Actinopteri; Perciformes; Percidae.